Mycena latifolia is the source of this 88-nucleotide non-coding RNA. The record is from the annotation of a GenBank genome assembly. NCBI's taxonomy places the organism in Eukaryota, Fungi, Basidiomycota, Agaricomycetes, Agaricales, Mycenaceae.
GACCGAGCAGCGAAGUGGUAUCGCGUCUGCUCGACUUUUAUGAGGAAAAUUUCGGCGGAAAGCGCCCGUUCGAGUCGGGUCUGGGUCA